UUGAUCAUGGCUCAGAAUCAACGCUGGCGUGCAGUGCCUAACACAUGCAAGUCGAACGAGAAAGCGGGGGCAACUCCGUGAGUAAAGUGGCGACCGGGUGAGUAACACGUGACCAACCUACCCUGGAGUGGGGAAUAACCUCGGGAAACCGGGGCUAAUACCGCAUGACGUCCACGGGUGCAACUCCUGCGGACCAAGGGAGUAAUUCGCUCUGGGAGGGGAUCGCGGCUGAUUAGCUAGUUGGCGGGGUAACGGCCCACCAAGGCGAUGAUCAGUAGCCGGCCUGAGAGGGCGCACGGCCACACUGGAACUGAAACACGGUCCAGACUCCUACGGGAGGCAGCAGUGGGGAAUUUUGCGCAAUGGGGGAAACCCUGACGCAGCAACGCCGCGUGGAGGAUGAAGUCCCUUGGGACGUAAACUCCUUUCGACCGGGACGAAUGAUGACGGUACCGGUGGAAGAAGCCCCGGGCUUAAACUUUCGNUGCCAAGCAGGCCGGCGGUAAAUACGAAGGGGGGGCCNACGCGUUUGUUUCGGGAAAUUACUUGGG
This 551-nucleotide ribosomal RNA is filed under the name uncultured bacterium. Its description in RNAcentral is "bacterial SSU rRNA". It matches the Rfam family "Bacterial small subunit ribosomal RNA", at positions 13 to 559 of the family's 1533-position model. The record is from RNAcentral.